Long non-coding RNA from Mesocricetus auratus (golden hamster), 1592 nucleotides. RefSeq lists it as uncharacterized. The record is from RefSeq and is a predicted model, not a curated record. Lineage: Eukaryota; Metazoa; Chordata; Mammalia; Rodentia; Cricetidae. The transcript is spliced from 2 exons.
GCGGCUCGCACUGCAAGGGGGCGUGGCCUCAACUCCCGGGGCCGCCGCCGAAACUCGGGGGCCGCGCUUUGGCCGCAAGUACAAAGCGAGCUGGUGGCCGCUCUGCGGCACGGCCCCUGGCGCGCGCCUCCCCGCGGGCCGCCGCCCCCACCUCCACCCCACCCCCGCGUCCCCGGAGCCGCCCGAAAACGCCGUUGGAACGCAGAUUCCCGCCUUUCCCCGGUUCCCCCCCACCCCCGCCCCCGCCCCGGCAUGUGUCAGGGGAAAUCGGUUUCCCUUUUUCAAAAUGGCUUGGGUCAUCUCAACGGUUUGUGGGUUCCGGAGGCACGCCCCAGUCUCCCUGCACCUCCAUCGGGAUUGACAGAGCAGGUCUCCUUGUCCCCUGCCUGAAGGACACUCCAGUCAUUUCUCCUUUCCGGGCGGGCCCAGGGGCCUCCCAACAGCUUCCCUCUGGGACAUUCAAAGGUUGCACAUUGCACUUAAGUAUUUGAAGUAUUUAUAGGCUGAUACAAUGGCCGGGGAAGCUUCGCGCCCAAGACAGCUCCUCCCGCCACUUACCACACAGACUGUAAUUAGAGUGACUUGGUGACCGGGGCAGGCUGAGGCCAAACCUGCACCGGUUUCCUCGUUUCAUCCAGGCCUGCCUGGCUGGCUGCGCCUGAGACGUGCCAAGACCACAGUUUCCUCCACUUGGAAUCGCUGGAGGAUCCCUUCCUCUCGGACACAGAGCCUGGGGGCUGAAGGGAAAACAGAUAGAUGGUCCAGACACGCUGCUUCUGGGCUGAUCAUGGAGGAGACCCACGUGGAGAACGUUACAGACCCCAUCUGCCUGACCUCCCAAGAAGACAGUCCUGCGAAGAGCCAAAAACAUCUUAAACUCCAGCCUGUCAUGGAGGAAAAAAAUGCAAGAAGAGUCAGCUGCCCCCUGCAGACCCUCAAUUAUGAAAGAGAAAGAAAACUGCAAUGCUCUGAAGGAAUAUAAAAAGCAGAACAUUUUGUGAGUCUAUUUGGAAGUUUUUUUUUUAAGCACAACAGUUUAUAUGGGGAAACAUGCUUGUCCCUAGUUUCCUAAGACAUAAAUUGUCAGUUUAGGAGUCAUGUCCCAUGGAUGGCACAAAUGCUCACUUUCAGUAGUAGAUGAGUUAAGAGCUCACCCAACCUAGACUGUGGAGAUUCAGACCUCCAGAAACCUUCCUAUUUACAGGUAGACAAUACUCUCUUGGAGCAGACUAACCACCAUCUUGGUAAGAGCAGCUGUGUCUGCUUGCAGAAGAUCGUCCCAGCUGGCCUUGUUAACUGUUGACAUUCCCUCAUUGAAGGGGGUGGGGUAGGAAGGAAAAGUCAUUGGAUCUUCCUAAACAUUCAGCUACACCCCCAAGCCAGUCAUCUGCGACUCUGCAGCUUUGCAUGUGGUCUCUGGGAUCUUGGAGAGGGGGCCGAGCAUAUGAUCUGGGAAAGGGAAGAGGCUCCAUCUUCACAAUCAUGUACUGAGUAUUGACGGUCUGGUGUGUCUGCUUCAAGGUCUUGGCGCUCCUGUCCAUAACCACACACCCAUGUUCCCUAAGUAAGCCAAAUAAAGUCACUGGCCUCCA